Molecule: ribosomal RNA, 240 nt
Filed under: Gordonia paraffinivorans
Lineage: Bacteria; Bacillati; Actinomycetota; Actinomycetes; Mycobacteriales; Gordoniaceae
Description: partial 16S ribosomal RNA
Rfam family: Bacterial small subunit ribosomal RNA
Source: RNAcentral
UUUUCAUGGAGAGUUUGAUCCUGGCUCAGGACGAACGCUGGCGGCGUGCUUAACACAUGCAAGUCGAACGGAAAGGCCCAGCUUGCUGGGUACUCGAGUGGCGAACGGGUGAGUAACACGUGGGUGAUCUGCCCUGGACUCUGGGAUAAGCCUGGGAAACUGGGUCUAAUACCGGAUAUUCGCUUUCUCUCGCAUGGGGGUUGGUGGAAAGCUUUUGCGGUUCAGGAUGGGCCCGCGGCC